This is a small nuclear RNA of Heterocephalus glaber (naked mole-rat), 183 nucleotides long. Its record names the gene U2. It matches the Rfam family "U2 spliceosomal RNA". From Rfam's summary of the family: U2 is a small nuclear RNA (snRNA) component of the spliceosome (involved in pre-mRNA splicing). Complementary binding between U2 snRNA (in an area lying towards the 5' end but 3' to hairpin I) and the branchpoint sequence (BPS) of the intron results the bulging out of an unpaired adenosine, on the BPS, which initiates a nucleophilic attack at the intronic 5' splice site, thus starting the first of two transesterification reactions that mediate splicing. NCBI's taxonomy places the organism in Eukaryota, Metazoa, Chordata, Mammalia, Rodentia, Bathyergidae. The record is from Ensembl.
AUCGCUUCUCGGCCUUUUGGCUAAGAUCAAGUGUAGUAUCUAUUUUAUGUUCCAGCAGACUCAGUGUUUCUGUUUCUAUAUCUAGAUCUUUGAUCCAUUUUGAUUUGAUUUUAAUACAAAGUAAGAGUUAUGAGUCUAGAUUCAUUCUACCAUGGUGGAUAACCAGUUUUCCCAGCACCAUUU